Molecule: ribosomal RNA, 441 nt
Filed under: Pawiloma victima
Lineage: Eukaryota; Metazoa; Arthropoda; Insecta; Hemiptera; Cicadellidae
Description: partial large subunit ribosomal RNA
Source: RNAcentral
CCCUGCCCUAUGAUUAAUUAAAUGGCUGCAGUAUCAAGACUGUGCAAAGGUAGCAUAAUAAUUAGUCUUUUAAUUGGAGUCUUGUAUGAAUGGGUUAAUGAGAUAUUUAUUUUAUUUUUAAUAUUAUUAAAAUUUAAUUUAUGGGUAAAAAAGCUCAUUUCUUUUUUUGGGACGAUAAGACCCUAUAGAACUUAAUUUUUAAUAUUAUUUACUUUGAAUUUAGAAUUAUAUUUAUUUUAUUUAUUGUUAAUAGUUUAGUUGGGGUGAUUAAUAAAUUUAACUUUAUUUUAAUAUUUCAUUAAUUUGUGUAUUAUUGAUCCAUUAUUUUAUGAUUAAAAGAUCAAGUUACCUUAGGGAUAACAGCGUAAUUUUAAUGGGGAGUUCAUAUCUAUAUUAAUGUUUGCGACCUCGAUGUUGAAUUAAGAUCAAUUUAGGGGGUAG